AUUCGAUGAUAGUUUUAUCUGCACAGAAAAGCACCAGCUACCAGAGUUAUGGACAGAAGUACAAAAAGCAGGAAUCUAUUCUAAAAUGGGAAGGUGGCUCCUGUUUCUGAGAAGAUGAGCAGUAUUUUUAAGAAGAUGGCAUUUGUACUAGACCAGAGGGGAAAAAAGGCAGCAGUCAGAUCAGUUCUGCUGGCCAUGACACGAAGUGGAAGUGGGUGUCCCUAAUUAUGGGAUUCAGAGAAUCCAAGUUCUCCACAGCAGCUGCUUUCACAAACUCAAGAUUUGGAGAUUUAAGGUUACAACUUGCUGAUCCAAACCCAACUCAGUUGUGGCUACAAUUUGUUGCUGCAAGACAAUACUGGCAGAAGAACAAAUGGAUCCAUGAAUAAAUUCAGGCUGAUAAUUAGAAAACAGUUUUUAGCCAUCUGGAAAAGAAGGCAGACUGCAGAAGGUUGUGGAACAGCCUUCAGAAGAAUAUUGGAAUGGAAUGGUUGAAUUUUUUUGAAGAUGAAUCUUGACAAUCUUCUGCAUUAAAUUGUUCAGGAGAAUCAUCUGCAAUGAUGGGGGUGGGGGCAGAAAAACAAAAGUUUGUGCUGUGCUGUUCAUCCCUUUGUGCAACAGGAAGGAAUGAGAUGCUGUUCUAUAAGGAUGAACAUCUGUGUUAUGGAGUGCAGAUGACGAAUGUGGAGGUCAGGAGCAGGAUGGACAUGGAUCACUUCCCCCCACUAAGCAGAGUUGUAUUUUUCUGCCUUCAGGACUGUAGCAUCUGGAGUGAUCUUCAGUCUCAGCCGUUUCUUUAGCUCAAACUCUUUAGUUCGUUCUUGGGGAAGUGCUCCAGAAGUGCAGAACACUUGGACUGUGGGACUUCUGUGCCUGUGUCAAUGAUCACAUACAGAUGGUAUGAAAACACAGAGAUCCAGCUGGUUCCCAUGGCAUUGAGACAAAAUUACGUGGAGUGGAGAAUUCCUUCUGAAAGACUAAAAAACAUGAAGAAGUUAUGGACAAACAAGGCCAGACUUCCUUCAGAGAAAAAGGCUCUUGUUCAUUUAAAAAGAGCUUCAGGAGAUGGAAGGCCUGAGAUAGGCUCAGACCCCCAUGCAACAAAUUAAAAAAAACAAAGAACAGUGUGUCUAGCCCCCAUACGCACUGAACUCUCCAGGAAGCAAGUUCCUCAACAGAACCCCGAAUGCAACUGAACUCUCGUUUUUAUAACCCCCCUUUGGGUCCAGGAUUGAUGGGUUUUGGAUCCACACGGUGAUUGGCAUGUUUCUGGUGUUCCUAUUGGUCUCUAUUGUCGUUAUUCCUGACCAAUCAUUUCCUUGGGGCAUCAAAUGAUUGGUUAGGCCUUUCCUCCAAACUCCUUCCGUGGCACUGGUUUCAUUGCGCUGACUCUGUUCCUGGAUGUUAUUCUGCCCCUUUGGACCAUCCCCCCGCUACAUCCCGGACCCUUUAGAACUUGCAAAGAACAUUGACUAACCCCCUUAAAACAAUAACUCUCCUUCCCAAGGUUACAAUAAUCAACUCAACCUUAACUCGAUACAAACCCAAUCUCACUUAUAACAACUAUGCUUCUAUUAAAAUAUCAGACACUGAUUUUUUUGUUACAUUGGGCCUAUCCUGGAAAUUCAUGAAUCAGACUCUUGUGAGAGGCAGGCACUGUUGAUUUUUCCAGUUCUUCUUGAAGGGAACUGCCAUGCUUCAUCACACUGACCCGGGGUCAAAGAAAAAUAGGACAAAAAAAUGUUCAUAUUCAGCUUCACCUUGGAGAGUCUCAUGGCAAAGGCCUCAUAUUCAAAACUUUAUCUAGAAAGGUGGAUUUAAUGAAGUACCACAGAAACAGUGAAAUCUAUUUUGAAGUUAUCUUUAAAAUGUCAUGACAUAUUUUUAUUAGUUUGAAAGAUACUUAAAAUGAAGCAUGCAUAUUUAUUUAAAAUAUUUAAAUCUCCAAAAUGAAAAAUUGUUUCUGUCAUUGAAAAUGACGAAUUUUUCCUGUUGCCCAACUGUGCAGACUUGCAUAGUGCCAUUAAAAUAGCCCAAAUGAAAACUUAAAAUGAUGUAGCUGUGUUGGUUUGGUUUUUUCUCUGUUAGUGGAAAUUGGUCUUCUCUGAUCUCUUCACAUAUAUACUGAAGUUCAAGCUAUAUUGAUAAAACGUGGAUUUUAAUGAUAAUUUUGUUUUUAGGGAUUGCACUUGUAUGUGAUCAUGCUUUAGUAAUAAGAUUAUUUCAUUUUAUUCAUGUAUUGUGAUGCAUAAUAUUAAUUAAUUAAAUUAUAUUGUAUACUAAUAAACAUGUUAGCAAUAAUCAUAUGCUUAAAAUAGUAGCUGCUACAACAAAAAAGAGAAAUAAAAGUAACAAUAAAAAAAAAACACCAGAAAGACUGCUCAAGAGUUUUUUUCAGCAGCUGGACAAGUUCUUCUCUUCUAGGUCUUAUCAGAAGUAAAGAGAAGUUAAUGAAAACUUUUGCAGACUUACUGGUUGCAGGGAAGAAAUUACUUCUAUUAUACGCUGAAGGAUUAAAUCCAUUAAAUCUCUUUUAACUCCUGACUGCUCAGCAGCUUGGAUGGGUUGAAGAUUUCAAUCUGCAUGCACAGUACAGGUACUGUUCUUGGUUUCAUUAAAUGUUUCUUCUUCUCAAUAGACUCUGUCUACCUUGCCCAAAAUUUAAAAUUGGCUUUAUGAAAACCACUGUCCUGAUAGAUAUGCAUCUGACAGGAAAGGGCAUCAUUUAACAAUAAUUUCCAAUGAUGUAAGUCUAGAAAUACUAAUGGAGGUAAUUACGUGCCAAUAGCCCUUAUUAAAGCUUUAGUAUAUCAGUCUCCAUAAUUAGCCUCUCUGUAUGAGGACAGCAUCUGGCUCUUCAAAUCUCUUUCCAAGAAAGGCACUGAGGUAGACGUCCAGGUUUCUACAGACUGUUUUUUAUGCUGUGCAUACACUUUUUUGAA
Melospiza melodia melodia is the source of this 2942-nucleotide long non-coding RNA. RefSeq lists it as uncharacterized. Lineage: Eukaryota; Metazoa; Chordata; Aves; Passeriformes; Passerellidae. The transcript is spliced from 6 exons. The record is from RefSeq and is a predicted model, not a curated record.